Molecule: non-coding RNA, 1251 nt
Organism: Doryrhamphus excisus (bluestripe pipefish)
Lineage: Eukaryota; Metazoa; Chordata; Actinopteri; Syngnathiformes; Syngnathidae
Source: RefSeq, a predicted model, not a curated record
UAAAUUUGACUUACAGGAAAGGUCUAUUACAGUAACGUACCCCGUUACAGUAACAUAGCCACACCCCCUUUGCCUUUCCUCAAAAGAUUCUGAUUGGUUCUUUCAUUUGGAUGCCAUUUUGGUUCCUAUAGAUUACCGUUUGUUGUUUCUGAUGCAACUGUAAUGAUUCAUCAGUAGUUUCAAGGCAAGAGGAAUAUAUCAUGAUAAAAAUGAUGGAACAUAAAUAUACUUAAUAGGAGCCGUCAUUAGAAAAGUCAAUAAAGGAAGGCCCCAUGAAGGUGAAGGUGUUUGUUUGGGCUGGUAACGUUGCAUCCCUCAAACAAGACCGCCAGAGACCACCCAGUGCUUCGUUCCUGCUCGCUACACAUCCUCUCCUUUAAUAGUUUUUUUUUUAAUAUUAUUAUUUUUCAAGGCUUAAUGUCUUUUCCAGCAAAUUAAGAAGAGCACAGGCCUGUUUUGGAUCAGAACAACGAGGCAAAUGUUAGCAAAACACAGCUGUUAAUGGGCUUGUGCUUGGGUUUUGGACUCUGGAGCUUAUCACCUGUUCCAUCUGUUGGCUGGGGGCCCUGCUGAGGCUGACAGCAGACGUCUGGCCCACACAAGCCCAGGCAGGACCAUUAGAACCCCAGUCCAUUAUGGAGCACAUCAACAGCUCUUCCUGAUGAAGGAAGUGACACUUCCUAAUAGCUGACAAAUGAUUAAAGACAGCUAAUGAAGUGUUGAUUUAAGAAGAUGACAUCUUUUAACGGUGGGACCAUUGUUAUCUCGCAAUGAUUACAGAAGCACAGAGCAAGAAUCGUCGUGGUUCUAAGGGGAAUCUGAUACUGAGUGGCCAAAGACGCUGUGCUCAAAGGUGUCGGAGCGAGAAACCUGUUGAUUUUGGAGGAUAUCUGUCAGAAGACAGCAGAGGAAGCUGACGUCAAAGGCUAAUCCGCAUCCCAACAAGUCAGAAAUUUCAGCUGAUCUUCCCCCCUUCAGGAGCAAGAAGUGCAAGAUGCUUGAGCUCAGGCUCAAAGGAGGCUCCAACAGUGGAGAAACCUCACCGCAGACAGGAUGGAAGGCACGUCAUCGUGGCCAGUUAUUGCGUCGCCGUAGCAACAGGAAACAAAAGCAUGGCGACUGCUCAACCGAAGCAUUUUCUCCAUGAGUCACGACUAUUUCUUUUGGAGUCAUGACCCAGAAUAAAAGAUGAUGUGUGACGACCCUUUUCGCGCUUAAUGUGGUCAUUAAGUACAUUUAAAUAAAGUCUAA